GCCGAGAUAGCUCAGGGGUAGAGCACUUCCAUGGUAAGGAAGGGGCCGAGGGUUCAAAUCCCUCUCUCGGCUCCA
This 75-nucleotide transfer RNA is filed under the name candidate division WWE3 bacterium. Its description in RNAcentral is "tRNA-Thr". It matches the Rfam family "tRNA". Rfam says of the family: Transfer RNA (tRNA) molecules are approximately 80 nucleotides in length. The record is from RNAcentral. Lineage: Bacteria; candidate division WWE3.